RNAcentral lists this ribosomal RNA (305 nucleotides) under uncultured bacterium. RNAcentral describes it as "bacterial SSU rRNA". It matches the Rfam family "Bacterial small subunit ribosomal RNA", at positions 334 to 636 of the family's 1533-position model. The record is from RNAcentral.
CGAUCCUACGGGGCGCAGCAGUGGGGAAUCUUCCGCAAUGGGCGGGAGCCUGAACCAGCCAAGUCGCGUGAGGGAAGACGGUCCUAUGGAUUGUAAACCUCUUUAGGCGGGGAGCAAUGCCGGGCACGCGUGCCCGGAGGGAGAGUACCCGCAGAAUAAGCAUCGGCUAACUCCGUGCCAGCAGCCGCGGUAAUACGGAGGAUUCGAGCGUUAUCCGGAUUUAUUGGGUUUAAAGGGUGCGUAGGCGGAUUUUUAAGUCAGCGUUAAAAUGUCCGGGCUCAACCCGGGCCGGCCGUUGAACCUGG